CAUGGAUGGAUGGGUGGAUGGUGGCCAAGGCAACCACUUGCCAAGGAUAGGAAAAUGCCUCCCUGGAUACCAGCAACAACAUAGACUGGUGAAAGGUGUUAACCCCGGCUGAAUGACCUGGUGUCCUCAACUCCAUAAGAAGCACCAGGGCCCCAGUGCAGAAGCUCCCAUUGGGGAAGGAGCAAUGGGACGCCACUUGUGACCAGCAUCUCGAAAUUUCCUCUGUCUGACAUCUUCCCCUCCCCACUCCCACUCUUCCCCACUCAAUCCCACUCUUGUUCUUCCCCACCUCACCCCAACCCAGCCUAACCCUUGCUCUUCCCAUUCUUUCCUUCUCAUUAUCCUCUUUCCCAUCCCUUUCUCUCUGCCCCACAUUUACUGUUCAAUAAAGCCCCCAUUGUUCACUUUGA
This is a long non-coding RNA of Vidua macroura (Pin-tailed whydah), 410 nucleotides long. RefSeq lists it as uncharacterized. Lineage: Eukaryota; Metazoa; Chordata; Aves; Passeriformes; Viduidae. The transcript is spliced from 2 exons. The record is from RefSeq and is a predicted model, not a curated record.